RNAcentral lists this ribosomal RNA (165 nucleotides) under Triticum aestivum (bread wheat). RNAcentral's name for it is "partial small subunit ribosomal RNA". Lineage: Eukaryota; Viridiplantae; Streptophyta; Magnoliopsida; Poales; Poaceae. The record is from RNAcentral.
AAGGCGUUCGCCUCCUUGAUGAUGCUCAUCUUAUGGGAGAUAUGGGCGGAGCGUAACGUCAGGGUCUUUUGAUACACGGCCAUCCCUUCCAUGGUCCUAAUCAGUAAGAUCAAAAAGGAGGUGUCUCUUUGGGCGGUGGCGGGUGCGAAGGACAUGAGUGUUUAA